UUGGGUAAUUAUGAGGGUAUAUACAUGCAUCAUGUCUCAUAGAAUCUGUCAAAUAAAUUUUUAAAUGUCACAGGGAAAUGUUUAUAACGUUUUUUAUUUGUAUGCGUUUAUGCCAUGUUUAUAUAAUUACAAGAUGAAUUAAAUAGCUUUUUUUGUCAUUACAGAAUAUGUCUAAAUCAAACCCCAAAAGCCACAAGGCGAUGGAUGACACAGAGUGGGCCUCAAGGCUUAGGUCUUUUGCUUCCUCUGGUGUUUGGCCAUCACAUGCAGGCAACAGACCUGCUCCAAGGCAACAAAAGUGGUACUCCCUGUAUCAGAAGAUAGAAAAGUGUCCACUACAGCUGAGAGGCCAGCGGACACUUUUAUCCCAACCACAAAAGUGUUUGUGUGGGUAUCAUCUUCCUAAGUUAUGCAACAGGUCUGUUCAACAGCAGAGGAAAAGGAUUAGCAGGUGCCCACACCCUCAUCUACACCCACAAGCAGUGGAGGCCAAUCAAGUCAAAUGAGUUCCACAGUGCUCCAGACUGCUGUUCCAAUCCAACACCCCACAGCGUGCACCACAUCUGGAACUCCGGCAAAAAGGCCAAAGCUCACCCUGUCUUCAUUUGAAAGGUCCAGAUUUGGUGGCAAGCAUGUGGAGAGUGCAAAGCCAAACAUAAAUCUUGCACGGAAACCUUGUACUAAUGUAACACCUACUUGUACAAGCACAGCAGCCGAUUCGUGUGAGGAUCCAGUGCCAGGCAGCUCUCUUCACAACGUCUUUCAACAACAGCCACAAAGAACAGAGACCUUUUAUCUUGCCCCACCUUUACCAGCUCCGAAAAGACAGAGACCGGUGGAGGAGCAAAGUUCAGCAGUGAAUGCAAACCCAUUCCAGCCUGAGAACACUGGUGAGCUGCCACUUCUUUGGCCUAAGACCAUGCCAGAGGAGGAUCACCAGUGGGUUUCAACAGCCUUA
This is a long non-coding RNA of Fundulus heteroclitus (mummichog), 958 nucleotides long. RefSeq lists it as uncharacterized. The transcript has 8 exons. The record is from RefSeq and is a predicted model, not a curated record. NCBI's taxonomy places the organism in Eukaryota, Metazoa, Chordata, Actinopteri, Cyprinodontiformes, Fundulidae.